Long non-coding RNA from Varanus komodoensis (Komodo dragon), 403 nucleotides. RefSeq lists it as uncharacterized. The record is from RefSeq and is a predicted model, not a curated record. The transcript has 2 exons. NCBI's taxonomy places the organism in Eukaryota, Metazoa, Chordata, Lepidosauria, Squamata, Varanidae.
AGAGGAUUUACCCACCAGCACCCUGGCAAAGAAGGCUGCUCUGCAUCUGUUGUACUACCUGUUCCUGUUGCCUUCCUUGCCUCUUGGAAUCGUGACAAGAGAGAAAAGUCGCCUCUGGUGGGUUGCUCAAAGCUGUGGGUCUGCAGCCCUGUGCAGGAAGUUGGCACCGAUCCCAGGGCUUAUGAUUGGCCAACUCAAAGGUAUCCUCAAGGCUUAGUCAACUUGGUGAAAGAACAGCAAAACAGGGAAGCAUUGGAAUGCUUUCUACAACAACCUACUUCAAUCAAGGAGGAAGUAAGCAUAUUCGUUGACCAUUAGAGCAGCUGCUGUUCCAGAGCAUUAUUGGCCUCCCUAGCAGCUCCCAGAUUGUGCUGUCUAUAAUAAAAUGGAUUCUUGUAACAAA